CUUGGUCAUUUAGAGGAAGUAAAAGUUGUAACAAGGUUUCCGUAGGUGAACCUGCGGAAGGAUCAUUAACAAAUCCUGCUGCAGUGCCGCAAGGUGCUGUAGUAUAUUAACUCGGCCAGUGUCGCAAGAUGCUGGCUGAUCAUAUAAAUGUGUGUAAUGUUGACAAUGUGUGUGUGAUUAAAUAGUGGACAACUUUUAACAAUGGAUCUCUAGGCUCUUGCAGCGAUGAAGAACGCAGUAAAGUGUGAAAAGUGAUGCGAUUUGCACGAAUCUGUGAGUCAUCUAGUUUUUGAACGCAAAUGGCACUCUUGUGUAAGCAAGAGUAUGUCUGUUUGAGAAUCCCAAAACCGAUCAACACCUGUGGGGGUUGGUACUGGCGGUCCGUGCAGUUGUGCGGUCUGCUUGAAAGCAAUCAGGUUGAUGAGCUUCCAGCUGGGCUCCAAGUGUGCUAAAAGACAGUCGUCUUUCGUCACUUGGGCGCUUAGUUGCAAAGUUCUGUAACACAGCCUUUAAACUUUAUCUAAUAGGAUCUCAAAUCAGGCAAGAUUACCCGCUGAACUUAAGCAUAUCAAUAAGCGGAGGA
Molecule: ribosomal RNA, 583 nt
Filed under: uncultured fungus
Lineage: Eukaryota; Fungi
Description: eukaryotic LSU rRNA
Rfam family: 5.8S ribosomal RNA (bases 191-342)
Source: RNAcentral